Long non-coding RNA from Rattus norvegicus (Norway rat), 1049 nucleotides. RefSeq lists it as uncharacterized. The record is from RefSeq and is a predicted model, not a curated record. Lineage: Eukaryota; Metazoa; Chordata; Mammalia; Rodentia; Muridae.
GGCGCCUUUAGCUUCCUUCUGGCUGCCCCUGCAGCUCGGGCUCAGCGAGACCUGCUGCCCCAGGAGUGGGUGUGUGGUGCUUGUGAGGAGAGCGAGCGAUCCAGAAACGUCAACUUGGCUUCUCGGGGCUGCGGAUGGCAACCAGAUGAAGAAACAGACUUACUGUUUGAGUAAGGAGAGCAGAGACUACUGACGGGCGGGUUGUAAACCAAAGCAGAUAACUUGAACAUACAAUUUUCAUCUACAGAAUGAAUCCACAAGGUUGAAGGAAUCCAUCCAGCACUGCAAAGGACAGUGGGGCCUUUCCUUGAUGGUAUCUGAUUCUUCUCUCUCCCAUGCCCAGGGAACAUGGGCAUUACUACCAAAGGCAAUUAUUACAUCAUUCACCAUGAGCCUCAUGUUUUCCCAACGAGAUGGGAGAAAGCAACUUGAAUUUGUCAGAACGACUGGCAUCCCCUAACCUCAUGCCGUGGGAAUAUGGUUUAUCUUGAGUGCACACCCACUAACCCGUACAUCAAAAUGUCAAAGGGCUUCCCAGCACAAGUUCAUGGCCGGAACGGGUAAGAUACCUUCAAUGGACCAAUUCUUAGAGGCAAAUGGCGAUGAAUAGAGGAUUCUGUUACUGUUUUCUUGGCCUACCCCACUCUGUUUGCAUUUUAAGCCUCUACAACAGAAAGGAAAGUUGUGAAAAUUGCUUGAGAUACUGAGUCACAUGGUUGAGAACAAGGGUGGUAAGAAAUGACACCAAGGGGCUGGACAGAUGGCUUGGGACCGGGGUGAGGGUUGGGGAGAACUUGCUCUACAAGCACGAGGGUCUGAGCUUGAAUCUCCAGAACCCAUGGGAAGAAGUGGAGACAGGAGAAUCCUCUCAUCUUUUCUGAACAGCUAGCCUGGCUGGCCCACAGAGUAAAGUAGCAACAAAGAGACCUGCUUUAAACAGUGUGGAAGGUAGGAACCAAUACUCAGAGGUUGGCCUCUUUUUGCUGCGGACACACACACACACACACACACACACACACACACACACACACACACACACACAAUGAGUC